This 1343-nucleotide ribosomal RNA is filed under the name uncultured bacterium. RNAcentral's name for it is "16S ribosomal RNA". It matches the Rfam family "Bacterial small subunit ribosomal RNA", at positions 28 to 1378 of the family's 1533-position model. The record is from RNAcentral.
GACGAACGCUGGCGGCGUGCUUAACACAUGCAAGUCGAACGGAAAGGCCCUGCUUUUGUGGGGUGCUCGAGUGGCGAACGGGUGAGUAACACGUGAGUAACCUGCCCUUGACUUUGGGAUAACUUCAGGAAACUGGGGCUAAUACCGGAUAGGAGCUCCUGCUGCAUGGUGGGGGUUGGAAAGUUUCGGCGGUUGGGGAUGGACUCGCGGCUUAUCAGCUUGUUGGUGGGGUAGUGGCUUACCAAGGCUUUGACGGGUAGCCGGCCUGAGAGGGUGACCGGCCACAUUGGGACUGAGAUACGGCCCAGACUCCUACGGGAGGCAGCAGUGGGGAAUAUUGCACAAUGGGCGGAAGCCUGAUGCAGCAACGCCGCGUGCGGGAUGACGGCCUUCGGGUUGUAAACCGCUUUCGCCUGUGACGAAGCGUGAGUGACGGUAAUGGGUAAAGAAGCACCGGCUAACUACGUGCCAGCAGCCGCGGUGAUACGUAGGGUGCGAGCGUUGUCCGGAUUUAUUGGGCGUAAAGGGCUCGUAGGUGGUUGAUCGCGUCGGAAGUGUAAUCUUGGGGCUUAACCCUGAGCGUGCUUUCGAUACGGGUUGACUUGAGGAAGGUAGGGGAGAAUGGAAUUCCUGGUGGAGCGGUGGAAUGCGCAGAUAUCAGGAGGAACACCAGUGGCGAAGGCGGUUCUCUGGGCCUUUCCUGACGCUGAGGAGCGAAAGCGUGGGGAGCGAACAGGCUUAGAUACCCUGGUAGUCCACGCUGUAAACGGUGGGUACUAGGUGUGGGGUCCAUUCCACGGGUUCCGUGCCGUAGCUAACGCUUUAAGUACCCCGCCUGGGGAGUACGGCCGCAAGGCUAAAACUCAAAGGAAUUGACGGGGCCCCGCACAAGCGGCGGAGCAUGCGGAUUAAUUCGAUGCAACGCGUAGAACCUUACCUGGGUUUGACAUGGAUCGGGAGUGCUCAGAGAUGGGUGUGCCUCUUUUGGGGUCGGUUCACAGGUGGUGCAUGCCUGUCGUCAGCUCGUGUCGUGAGAUGUUGGGUUAAGUCCCGCAACGAGCGCAACCCUUGUUCACUGUUGCCAGCACGUUAUGGUGGGGACUCAGUGGAGACCGCCGGGGUCAACUCGGAGGAAGGUGGGGGUGACGUCAAGUCCUCAUGCCCCUUAUGUCCAGGGCUUCACGCAUGCUACAAUGGCUGGUACAGAGAGUGGCGAGCCUGUGAGGGUGAGCGAAUCUCGGAAAGCCGGUCUCAGUUCGGAUUGGGGUCUGCAACUCGACCUCAUGAAGUCGGAGUCGCUAGUAAUCGCAGAUCAGCAACGCUGCGGUGAAUACGUUCCCGGG